GACGUAGGAUGCAAGCGUUGUCCGGAUUUACUGGGCGUAAAGAGUUCGUAGGUGGCAUAUCAAGUCUGGUGUUAAAGACCGAAGCUCAACUUCGGAAAGGCGCUGGAAACUGAUAAGCUAGAGUGCAGUAGAGGCAAGGGGAAUUCCCAGUGUAGCGGUGAAAUGCGUAGAUAUUGGGAGGAACACCAGUGGCGUAAGCGCCUUGCUGGGCUGUAACUGACACUGAGGAACGAAAGCCAGGGGAGCGAAUGGG
RNAcentral lists this ribosomal RNA (253 nucleotides) under uncultured bacterium. RNAcentral's name for it is "partial 16S ribosomal RNA". It matches the Rfam family "Bacterial small subunit ribosomal RNA", at positions 524 to 776 of the family's 1533-position model. The record is from RNAcentral.